UACGGAGGGUGCAAGCGUUAUCCGGAUUUACUGGGUUUAAAGGGUGCGUAGGUGGGUAAGUAAGUCAGUGGUGAAAUCUUCAAGCUUAACUUGGAAACUGCCAUUGAUACUAUUUAUCUUGAAUUAUCUGGAGGUAAGCGGAAUAUGUCAUGUAGCGGUGAAAUGCUUAGAUAUGACAUAGAACACCCAUUGCGAAGGCAGCUUACUACGGAUAUAUUGACACUGAGGCACGAAAGCGUGGGGAUCAAACAGG
RNAcentral lists this ribosomal RNA (253 nucleotides) under uncultured bacterium. Its description in RNAcentral is "partial 16S ribosomal RNA". It matches the Rfam family "Bacterial small subunit ribosomal RNA", at positions 524 to 776 of the family's 1533-position model. The record is from RNAcentral.